UGGGGAAUUUUGGACAAUGGGCGCAAGCCUGAUCCAGCAAUGCCGCGUGCAGGAUGAAGGCCUUCGGGUUGUAAACUGCUUUUGUACGGAACGAAAAGGCUCUGGCUAAUACCUGGGGCACAUGACGGUACCGUAAGAAUAAGCACCGGCUAACUACGUGCCAGCAGCCGCGGUAAUACGUAGGGUGCGAGCGUUAAUCGGAAUUACUGGGCGUAAAGCGUGCGCAGGCGGUUUUGUAAGACAGAGGUGAAAUCCCCGGGCUCAACCUGGGAACUGCCUUUGUGANUGCAAGGCUGGAGUGCGGCAGAGGGGGAUGGAAUUCCGCGUGUACAGUGAAAUGCGUAGAUAUGGCGGAGGAACACCGAUGGCGAAGGCAAUCCCCUGGGCCUGCACUGACGCUCAUGCACGAAAGCGUGGGGAGCAAACAGGAUUNGAUACCCUGGUAGUCCACGCCCUAAAGCGAUGUCAACUGGCUUGUUGGGUCUUAAUUGACUCAGUAACGAAGCUAACGCGUGAAG
This 518-nucleotide ribosomal RNA is filed under the name uncultured bacterium. RNAcentral's name for it is "partial 16S ribosomal RNA". It matches the Rfam family "Bacterial small subunit ribosomal RNA", at positions 355 to 864 of the family's 1533-position model. The record is from RNAcentral.